CUACGGAGGGUGCGAGCGUUAAUCGGAAUUACUGGGCGUAAAGGGUGCGUAGGCGGCUUGAUAAGUCGGAUGUGAAAGCCCCGGGCUUAACCUGGGAACUGCAUUCGAUACUGUCAGGCUAGAGUAUGUCAGAGGUUGGCGGAAUUCCUGGUGUAGCGGUGAAAUGCGUAGAUAUCAGGAGGAACACCAGUGGCGAAGGCGGCUAACUGGGGCAAUACUGACGCUGAGGCACGAAAGCGUGGGGAGCAAACAGGAUUAGAAACCCGAGUAGUCC
RNAcentral lists this ribosomal RNA (274 nucleotides) under uncultured bacterium. RNAcentral describes it as "partial 16S ribosomal RNA". It matches the Rfam family "Bacterial small subunit ribosomal RNA", at positions 523 to 796 of the family's 1533-position model. The record is from RNAcentral.